AGCCUGCAGUGGUCACGUGGUACAAGUCGUAGCUCUCAGAAAACUCCCAGUUCAUGAGUUGUCAUUAGGAGUUCUACGAGGACGUGAACGCUUUUUAGAAGUUGGAAUCUCGUAAUUACGGGAAUUCCGAUAUGGCGUGAACGCAGCAUUAGUUAAUCACUUGAUGGGUGUUUAUAUUCGCUUAACCAAAAUCAAAACAAGCAAACUACACAGUGCAACAGACGAGUGGGAAAUCAAAGACUGGAAUGCUGGGAGAACGCUGGGGAAACUGACAAAGGGGUGAGCUCUGGAAAGGAGGACGGAUACUUCCUGUUCCUGCUGGAGUGACCUGCAGGUCUGAGGAGGAGUGAGGGAGAGGAAGGCAGAGAAAGCGAUACCCUGUGAAACCUGCUGGUGUAAACUUACCUCUGAUUGGGACUCACUGAUGUAAUGGACAAACAAGCACAAAAUGUGUCGAUACCCACAUCAAAUCUCCCAGGUUUCUUUUACAGUGAUUUGCGUACAGCUUCACCCUUGGCCAGAGUGCAGUUGUGAAACUGGAAGUGACAGUGCCAGGUUCCCUGCUGAACUUGGCUGAGGUCAGUGUCUGGUCAAAUGGAGUCGGGCCUGUGCGUCUGUGGGGGUGCAGAUGAAGUGGUCAGCGGU
RNAcentral lists this long non-coding RNA (645 nucleotides) under Sinocyclocheilus grahami. RNAcentral's name for it is "lncRNA (ENSSGRG00000024613.1)". Lineage: Eukaryota; Metazoa; Chordata; Actinopteri; Cypriniformes; Cyprinidae. The record is from RNAcentral.